AAUCCAUCGGCGGGAGAGUCGGGACAGUCGGUGGCGUAGUAAAUUCUAUCGCCGCGGUUGUCUGCAGCCCUAGCCGUAUCAACCAACCCCCAUUAUAACUUUUUAGUCCUCGGAUCAGGUAGGGAUACCCGCUGAACUUAAGCAUAUCAAUAAGCGGAGGAAAAGAAACCAACAGGGAUUGCCUUAGUAACUGCGAGUGAAGCGGCAAAAGCUCAAAUUUGAAAUCUGGCGUCUUCGGCGUCCGAGUUGUAAUUUGGAGGGGCAUUUUCGGAGGUGGCGCUGUCCUAAGUUCCUUGGAACAGGACGUCACAGAGGGUGAGAAUCCCGUGCCUGGAUGGCUGUCCAUCUCCGUGUGAAAUGCGUCCGACGAGUCGAGUUGUUUGGGAAUGCAGCUCAAAUUGGGAGGUAAAUUUCUUCUAAAGCUAAAUAUUGGCGAGAGACCGAUAGCGCACAAGUAGAGUGAUCGAAAGAUGAAAAGCACUUUGAAAAGAGAGUUAAAAAGUACGUGAAAUUGUUGAAAGGGAAGCGCUUGAGAUCAGACUCGAUCUGUGGUGAUCAGCCGUGCUUCUGUGCGGUGCACUUGCCACGGAUUGGGCCAGCAUCGGUUUUGACGGUGGGAUAAAAGGUUUGGGAAUGUGGCUCCCCUCGGGGAGUGUUAUAGCCCAGAUCACCAUGCCACCAGUCGGGACCGAGGACCGCGCUUCGGCUAGGAUGCUGGCGUAAUGGUCUCAAGCGACCCGUCUUGAAACACGGACCAAGGAGUCUAACAUCUAUGCGAGUGUUCGGGUGGAAAACCCUUGCGCGAAAUGAAAGUGAACGGAGGUGGGAACCCCUCACGGGGUGCACCAUCGACCGAUCCUGAUGUAUUCGGAAGGAUUUGAGUAAGAGCAUGGCUGUUGGGACCCGAAAGAUGGUGAACUAUGCCUGGAUAGGGUGAAGCCAGAGGAAACUCUGGUGGAGGCUCGCAGCGGUUCUGACGUGCAAAUCGAUCGUCAAAUUUGGGUAUAGGGGCGAAAGACUAAUCGAACCAUCUAGUAGCUGGGUUCCUGCCGAA
RNAcentral lists this ribosomal RNA (1054 nucleotides) under Sowerbyella rhenana. RNAcentral describes it as "eukaryotic LSU rRNA". It matches the Rfam family "Eukaryotic large subunit ribosomal RNA", at positions 1 to 965 of the family's 3401-position model. Lineage: Eukaryota; Fungi; Ascomycota; Pezizomycetes; Pezizales; Pyronemataceae. The record is from RNAcentral.